This 308-nucleotide ribosomal RNA is filed under the name Pseudoalteromonas sp. RNAcentral's name for it is "bacterial SSU rRNA". It matches the Rfam family "Bacterial small subunit ribosomal RNA", at positions 15 to 325 of the family's 1533-position model. Lineage: Bacteria; Pseudomonadati; Pseudomonadota; Gammaproteobacteria; Alteromonadales; Pseudoalteromonadaceae. The record is from RNAcentral.
GAUCCUGGCUCAGAUUGAACGCUGGCGGCAGGCUUAACACAUGCAAGUCGAGCGGUAACAGAGAGUAGCUUGCUACUUUGCUGACGAGCGGCGGACGGGUGAGUAAUGCUUGGGAACAUGCCUUGAGGUGGGGGACAACAGUUGGAAACGACUGCUAAUACCGCAUAAUGUCUACGGACCAAAGGGGGCUUCGGCUCUCGCCUUUAGAUUGGCCCAAGUGGGAUUAGCUAGUUGGUGAGGUAAUGGCUCACCAAGGCGACGAUCCCUAGCUGGUUUGAGAGGAUGAUCAGCCACACUGGGACUGAGAC